GAUGAACGCUAGCUACAGGCUUAACACAUGCAAGUCGAGGGGUAACGAGAGGAAAGCUUGCUUUCCUUGUCGACGACCGGCGCACGGGUGAGUAACGCGUAUCCAACCUGCCCCCAACUAGGGAAUAACCUUGCGAAAGUAAGACUAAUACCCUAUAAUUUCCUCAGAUGCCAUCUGACGAGGAAUAAAGAUUUAUCGGUUGUGGAUGGGGAUGCGUCUGAUUAGCUUGUUGGCGGGGUAUCGGCCCACCAAGGCAACGAUCAGUAGGGGUUCUGAGAGGAAGGUCACCCCCAUUGAGACUGAGACACGGUCCAAACUCCUACGGGAGGCAGCAGUGAGGAAUAUUGGUCAAUGGGCGGAAGCCUGAACCAGCCAAGUAGCGUGCAGGAUGGCGGCCCUAUGGGUUGUAAACUGCUUUUAUACAGGAAUAAAGUUAGCCACGUGUGGUUAUUUGUAGGUACUGUAUGAAUAAGGACCGGCUAAUUCCGUGCCAGCCGCCGCCGUAA
Molecule: ribosomal RNA, 506 nt
Filed under: uncultured bacterium
Lineage: Bacteria
Description: partial 16S ribosomal RNA
Rfam family: Bacterial small subunit ribosomal RNA
Source: RNAcentral